Molecule: ribosomal RNA, 420 nt
Filed under: Ochromonas sp. CCMP1393
Lineage: Eukaryota; Chrysophyceae; Chromulinales; Chromulinaceae
Description: partial Bacterial large subunit ribosomal RNA
Rfam family: Bacterial large subunit ribosomal RNA
Source: RNAcentral
CGAGAUUCCCCUAGUAGCGGCGAGCGAACGGGGAUUAGCCCUUAAGCAAUUAUGAACGUAGUGGAAGCCUCUGGGAAGUGGCGCGAUACAAGGUGAUAGCCCUGUACACGAAGUGUUUGUUUUUGUGAAAUCGAGUAGGUCGGGACACGUGUUAUCUUGACUGAAUAUGGGGGGACCAUCCUCCAAGGCUAAAUACUCCUAACUGACCGAUAGUGAACCAGUACCGUGAGGGAAAGGCGAAAAGAACCCCUGUGAGGGGAGUGAAAUAGAACCUGAAACCGUAUACGUACAAGCAGUGGGAGCAGACUUGUUCUGUGACUGCGUACCUUUUGUAUAAUGGGUCAGCGACUUGGUCUUACGAGCAAGCUUAAACCGAUAGGUGUAUGCGCAGCGAAAGCGAGUCUUAAUAGGGCGACAUGU